UAAGCGGAGGAAAAGAAACUAACAAGGAUUCCCCUAGUAACGGCGAGUGAAGUGGGAAAAGCUCAACUUUGUAAUCUGGCUGUCUUUGGCAGUCCGAGUUGUAGUCUAGAGAAGUGUUAUCCGCGCAGACCCUUAUAGAUUUCGGUUGGAAUGCCAAGUCAAAGAGGGUGAGAAUCCCGUAUUUGAUAAGGUGGUCUUGUGCAUUGUGAUACGCUUUCAAAGAGUCGAGUUGUUUGGGAAUGCAGCUCAAAGUGGGUGGUAAAUUCCAUCUAAAGCUAAAUAUUGGCGAGAGACCGAUAGCGAACAAGUACCGUGAGGGAAAGAUGAAAAGCACUUUGGAAAGAGAAUGAAAUAGUACCUGAAAUUGCUGAAAGGGAAACGAGUGAAGUUAGACUUGCGCAGUUGGUAUUCAGCCUUGGCUUCGGUCUUGGUGCAUUUGCCUUCUAUUGCAGGCCAACAUCAGUUUACUUUGCGGUAAAAGGGUUUAGGGAAUGUGGCUUCUUCGGGAGUGUUAUAGCCCUUUACUGGAUGCCGAAUCGUAGACUGAGGAACGCAGCGCGCCUUUCGGGGCAAAGCUUUCAAGCUUCGAGCGCUUAGGAUGUUGGUAGAAUAGCUUUACACGACCCGUCUUGAAACACG
RNAcentral lists this ribosomal RNA (639 nucleotides) under Kondoa malvinella. Its description in RNAcentral is "eukaryotic LSU rRNA". It matches the Rfam family "Eukaryotic large subunit ribosomal RNA", at positions 47 to 663 of the family's 3401-position model. The record is from RNAcentral. Lineage: Eukaryota; Fungi; Basidiomycota; Agaricostilbomycetes; Agaricostilbales; Kondoaceae.